This 495-nucleotide long non-coding RNA is filed under the name Hordeum vulgare. RNAcentral describes it as "long non-coding RNA (HVUL_LNC006275)". The record is from RNAcentral. Lineage: Eukaryota; Viridiplantae; Streptophyta; Magnoliopsida; Poales; Poaceae.
AUUUGAGCAUCACUCCUUCAACCAUGUGACCAUAGCAUCAAAUCUUUUUCUCUGGUCAUUAUUUUGGAUCGUGAAGCAACUAUGUUUUAUGUUGCUCUAUAAAUUGACAAAUUUUACCAGGACAUUCUCCUAUCCAUAUCAUUGCCUCAUGCCAAAAUUCAACUUAAUUUAGCUAGUAAAUAUUUCUUGGCAAAUUUCCAAAGUUUCUGAUCCAAAGGAAUCUUUGUGAAGCAAGUGCUAGCUAGGAGUGUUCAAAUGCGUUGAAAAUUUGCCAUCAUCUCAAAAUGCUCAAAUAAUGCCUCUUCUACAAAUUUGAGCAUCACUUCUUCAACCAUGUGACCAUAGCAUCAAAUCUUUUUCUCUGGUCAUUAUUUUGGAUUGUGAAGCAACUAUGUUUUAUGGGGCUGUUUUUUGUUGCUCCAUAAAUUGACAAAUUUUAUCAGGACAUUCUCCUACCUAUAAAACCUCUCUAAACAAAUGUUGAGCACAUUUUAU